Molecule: transfer RNA, 75 nt
Filed under: Candidatus Shapirobacteria bacterium CG10_big_fil_rev_8_21_14_0_10_48_15
Lineage: Bacteria; Candidatus Shapironibacteriota
Description: tRNA-Lys
Rfam family: tRNA
About the family: Transfer RNA (tRNA) molecules are approximately 80 nucleotides in length.
Source: RNAcentral
GGGCCCGUAGCUCAGUGGUAGAGCAUCUGCCUUUUAAGCAGAGUGUCGAGCGUUCGAUCCGCUCCGGGCUCACCC